RNAcentral lists this small RNA (562 nucleotides) under Pan troglodytes (chimpanzee). RNAcentral's name for it is "retained intron". The record is from RNAcentral. Lineage: Eukaryota; Metazoa; Chordata; Mammalia; Primates; Hominidae.
UUUUCUGCUCUGCGACUCCUUUUGCAGAGGGGGAGCGCCUGGAGGUCCGGAUGAAACGUCUGGAAGCCAAGUAUGCCCCGCUCCACCUGGUCCCUCUGAUCGAGCGGCUGGGGACCCCUCAGCAAAUCGCCAUUGCUCGCGAGGGUGACCUCCUGACCAAGGAGCGGCUGUGCUGUGGCCUGUCCAUGUUCGAGGUCAUCCUGACCCGCAUUCGGAGCUACCUGCAGGACCCCAUCUGGCGGGGCCCACCGCCCACCAAUGGCGUCAUGCACGUCGAUGAGUGUGUGGAGUUCCACCGGCUGUGGAGCGCCAUGCAGUUCGUGUACUGCAUCCCUGUGGGAACCAACGAGUUCACAGCUGAGUGAGUACCCCCCAGAGAAGGCAGGGUUACCCCCAACCUGCCUGUGCUCCUGCAAGUCAUGGGGCUGCCAGAGUUCAGCCAGAAACGUGGGCAGGGGGUGGGGGUGGUUGGCCAACAACUACUUUGUUGAGUGUGUUGAGCUGACUGCAUUGGCAAGAAAGAGCCCAGUAAGGGUUUGAUAGUAAGACCCUCACUGCCUGC